RNAcentral lists this ribosomal RNA (459 nucleotides) under Juxtiphoma eupyrena. RNAcentral describes it as "eukaryotic LSU rRNA". The stretch from base 132 to 285 matches the Rfam family "5.8S ribosomal RNA". Lineage: Eukaryota; Fungi; Ascomycota; Dothideomycetes; Pleosporales; Didymellaceae. The record is from RNAcentral.
UGCGGGCUUUGCCUGCUAUCUCUUACCCAUGUCUUUUGAGUACUUACGUUUCCUCGGUGGGUUCGCCCGCCGAUUGGACAAUUUAAACCCUUUGCAGUUGCAAUCAGCGUCUGAAAAAAAUUAAUAAUUACAACUUUCAACAACGGAUCUCUUGGUUCUGGCAUCGAUGAAGAACGCAGCGAAAUGCGAUAAGUAGUGUGAAUUGCAGAAUUCAGUGAAUCAUCGAAUCUUUGAACGCACAUUGCGCCCCUUGGUAUUCCAUGGGGCAUGCCUGUUCGAGCGUCAUUUGUACCUUCAAGCUCUGCUUGGUGUUGGGUGUUUGUCUCGCCUUUGCGUGUAGACUCGCCUCAAAACAAUUGGCAGCCGGCGUAUUGAUUUCGGAGCGCAGUACAUCUCGCGCUUUGCACUCAUAACGACGACGUCCAAAAGUACAUUUUUACACUCUUGACCUCGGAUCAG